UCUCCGUUGGUGAACCAGCGGAGGGAUCAUUACAGAGUUGCAAAACUCCCAAACCCUUGUAAACAUACCACAUCGUCGUUGCUUCGGCGGGCAGCCCCUGGGAGGGGCCUCGCCUCCUCGUGAGGUGCCCGCCGGAGGACCAACAUAACUCUUGUAUUAAUUUGUCUCUCUGAGAAAACUUUUAAAUAAGUAAAAACUUUCAACAACGGAUCUCUUGGUUCUGGCAUCGAUGAAGAACGCAGC
This 243-nucleotide unclassified non-coding RNA is filed under the name uncultured fungus. RNAcentral's name for it is "sequence contains ITS1, 5.8S rRNA gene". The stretch from base 195 to 243 matches the Rfam family "5.8S ribosomal RNA", at positions 1 to 49 of the family's 154-position model. The record is from RNAcentral. Lineage: Eukaryota; Fungi.